CAUAUGUUAGAGGGAAAUUUCCGGGAGUAGAUGUCCCAUGAUGGAAAUUCCAUGGGGAGGGGUAAUUUACACAUGGAAAUUCCAUGGACAGGGCCAAAUUUAAAUGGAAAUUCCAUGGGGAAGGCCUAAUUUAGAAUGGAAAUUCCUUGGGGAAGGGUAAUUUUUACAAGGAAUUUCCAUGGGAAGGGGUAAAUUUUACAUGAAAAUUUGCGGAAUUCCAGGGGAGUACCGACAUAAGAAAGGGGUUCCUCAACAGGGGGGGGUGCGGAUAAUAAUUGGAAUAGCCCAUUGGAAUCUUCAUGCUCAAAUUAGUCUAUACCACACACAAAUUUCAUGAUGUUUGGAUAUUCAGGGCAUGAGUUGAACGGCGUUUUGACAAUGUUGUUUUCGCUAUGUAAGCAUAUUUUCUUUGAAGCGGAAGUUCCUGUGAAAUGUAUAAAAUAUAGAAAAACAAAAUUUUCAAAAUGCUGUAUUUAUAAGACUUAUAACCCUCAACCCAAAAUUUCCAAUGGACUAAUUUGAGCAUGAAGAUUUUAAUUCUUCAGUCCAUAUCCAGAGCCUGAAAUAAUUUUAAAAUUUGUCUGGAAAAACUUCCGAUCAAAACGAAAUUUGACCGGAAAUUUGCAAAAUUGACCGGAAUUUUUUUUAGUUUAGUUUAACCAAGUACACCCCCCCCCCCCCCANNNNNNNNNNNNNNNNNNNNCAGAGCCUGAAAUAAUUUUAAAAUUUGUCCGGAAAAACUUCCGAUCAAAACGAAAUUUGACCGGAAAUUUGCAAAAUUGACCGGAAUUUUUUUAGUUUAGUUUGACCAAGUCCACCCCCCCCCCCCAACGAGCAAACUCUGUCAAGUAUACAGACGUGCACCGAGUAAAUCACUCUACUUGCAAUAAUAAAAGACAAAUGUUUAAUUCUGAAUUGCUUAUUGGAAUAGUGAUAGUGAAUAAUAAUUUAAUCACGCCCGCCGACGCUGUUUUUAUCUUGACCCGACAACACCAUGCUGUAAGCCGCCAUCUUGUUUAUUGGGCCCGUGAACUAUACUUUCUAGUUGAUUACUUUAUAAUUAUUAGCCUAAUAUAGAUAAUCCAAACUUACAGAUGGUACUCACUGUGCUGAGUUCCGACCGAUCAUUAAGAAAACAUUUUUAUUUUUCUCAAAAUUUGGCCGGACAAAAUUUCCGAUCAUUUCAGCAUUUGGUCAAAAAAUCGGAAUUUGGUUGGAAAACCGCCGGCCGUUAUUUCAGGCUCUGAUAUCUGCUAAAUAUGAAGAUGAAAAAUCAAUGAUGGCAUGAUGCAAACUCGAAUUGGAGAAUGUACUUUUUAAAAAUAUAGCUUUGCAAAUGAAUAAAAGCAUUUAGUUUUGUGUACGAUUCACUGUAUGUGUAUUUGUUGAGAUAAUUAUUAUUUAUAUAAAAUUUAGAAAGAUUUAAACUUUUCCGUGCAUAUACGCAGGUCAAGGCCGGAUUUUGGUGAAAAUAGUGGGGGAAGUGGAAAAAAUUUUAGAGGAGGUGCAACAGUUUAGCUCACGACCCCCAUAAAAAGUUAUAUAUGUGGUGUACAUAUAUGUAUUAGUGUAUUAGGAAUGUUCGGUAUGAGAAAUUUCCGUUAUCGGUAUACCAAAAAAAUUAUACCGAUAUUGUAUUAUUGAUUGCAUUCUACACCUGCCUCACAACUUGCCCAAAUCUCUCAAUAAUAAGCAACCAAAUUUUCACUUUGAUCUAUCAUUGAAACAUUCCCAAGGAGAGGUGCAUGAUUUUUUAGGGGGUGUGUAAAAAUUCUAGGGACUAUUAGGGGAGGUGCGCACCCACACCUCCCCUCAAAGUCCGGCCAUGAUGCAGAUAUGGAAAGUGGUCAACUGAAAGGUAGCCUUAAUUAAUUCAAAUUAUAAUCUUGAACAACUGAGCCAGUGCAGGUAGUGCCAAUAAUAACAAAAGUUCAGUUGAUAGGGAUGCAAUUACCAGAAAAAUACAAGGAGAACUUUGACAUUUCGAAGUUCGCCUUGCCAGGUAGUUGCAUCCUUAUCAAGAAAUCUGUGGUGCAAAACCAACCUCAUUCCCAGGCUCUUACAUGUUGUGGAUGAAAGACCCUGGUAGGAGCUGGUCACGUGA
Molecule: long non-coding RNA, 2104 nt
Filed under: Paramuricea clavata
Lineage: Eukaryota; Metazoa; Cnidaria; Anthozoa; Malacalcyonacea; Plexauridae
Source: RNAcentral